CUCCUUUGACGUUAGCGGCGGGCGGGUGAGUAACACGUGGGUAACCUACCUAUAAGACUGGGAUAACUUCGGGAAACCGGAGCUAAUACCGGAUAAUAUUUCGAACCGCAUGGUUCGAUAGUGAAAGGUGGUUUUGCUAUCACUUAUAGAUGGACCCGCGCCGUAUUAGCUAGUUGGUAAGGUAACGGCUUACCAAGGCGACGAUACGUAGCCGACCUGAGAGGGUGAUCGGCCACACUGGAACUGAGACACGGUCCAGACUCCUACGGGAGGCAGCAGCG
Molecule: ribosomal RNA, 281 nt
Filed under: uncultured Staphylococcus sp.
Lineage: Bacteria; Bacillati; Bacillota; Bacilli; Caryophanales; Staphylococcaceae
Description: partial 16S ribosomal RNA
Rfam family: Bacterial small subunit ribosomal RNA
Source: RNAcentral